This 253-nucleotide ribosomal RNA is filed under the name uncultured bacterium. Its description in RNAcentral is "partial 16S ribosomal RNA". It matches the Rfam family "Archaeal small subunit ribosomal RNA", at positions 474 to 727 of the family's 1478-position model. The record is from RNAcentral.
UACCAGCACCCCGAGUGGUCGGGACGAUUAUUGGGCCUAAAGCAUCCGUAGCCGGUUCUACAAGUCUUCCGUUAAAUCCACCUGCUUAACAGAUGGGCUGCGGAGGAUACUAUAGAGCUAGGAGGCGGGAGAGGCAAGCGGUACUUAGUGGGUAGGGGUAAAAUCCUCUGAUCCACUGAAGACCACCAGUGGCGAAGGCGGCUUGCCAGAACGCGCUCGACGGUGAGGGAUGAAAGCUGGGGGAGCAAACCGG